GCCGAGGCCACGCCCACCCGGAACUCGCGCUGGCCCGCAAGCGCCGCGCGCAGCCCUGGUUCCCGCCCGUGCCUCUUCCUCCACACUUUCCCGCAAGCUGAGGGAGCCGGCUCCCGCCUUGGCCAGCCCGGAAAGGGGCUCCCACGGUGCAGCGGUGGGCUGAAGGGCUCCUCAAGCACGGCCAGAGUGGGCGCCAAGGCCGAGGAGGCCCCGAGAGCGAGCGAGGGCUGCCAGUAUGCUGUCACCUCUCAUUAUUAUUUGCCGAUGGGAGUGGAGAAGGAGACUUGGUGAUAACAGGACUGAAAACCUUGUGUAGCCUACAGUCCAUAUGCUUCAGUCUAUUGUGUCUUGAUCUAAGAAGAGAUGCAGAACAGAUGCUAAGAAGACUUAGACGCAAUGAGCCCCAGAAACAGAAUGCUGAUGUUCCAUGUAGAGAGGAAUUAUGACUAUGCCUCUCGUGCAAGUCUGAGCCUGGAGGACACUCAUCCUGUGGUAUGCCGUCGCCCCAAAGUGAUCCAGAAAAGCUGUCUGCAGACGCGCUCCUGCCAAACUCCUGUGGAAGAAGCCCCAGCUAUGUUUUCAGUGGUGGGUCUGGGGAGAAGAAGUAUCCUUUGGCAAAAUCCUUCAAAAGUACCAGAGAGCCCUGGCUGUUGGGGUACACUUGCAGACUUUCCCCACUGAGCCACUUUACCUGUGCCUCUGCUGAAAGAAACUUCUCACAAGUGGAAAGUUGAGGGGCUGAAGGCCUGCAGUCUGAUUUCUUUUGUUCUACAGGAUACUCCCUUAAUGUGAUCAAAACUGCUUUUGCAAAGAUUAUAACCGAGGAAAUUACGACAGUGAAAGAGAUCAGACCUAACUGACUCCAUCUUGCUUCUAAUCUUGUUCAAUAUCCUUGUUAAUUCCUGGGCAUAGGUCGAAAAACCUUGUGAAGGAAUUCAGUUUAUGGUUUGACUCUGAAACAAAGCUGCUAACAGCCCUUUCUCGAAAAGACCUCCUUCUCACCCGGGAACUAGUCUGCCUUUGUAGGACUAACAAAUUAGCUACAAGGUUAGAAAUUACUGUUUAGGGGUCAUGCAGCCUCUGGCUCCAAGAGUCUGAACCUCCCCACAUUGCUCCUAGGAAUAACGCCACUACUGUAAAACCUAAGAUCAGGUUUUAUUUUAAAAUAUCAGGUGAUAUUUUGCAGACCCUGCAUUGGGUGGAUCAACUGACACCACCCAGACCUGUAAUCUGGCCCAACCAGUUCUGCGAUCCUACUCAGGAACAGAAGAUAGCAAGAAAACCUCAUCUUGACCCCCUAUGAUUUCAUUUCCAACCUGACCAAUCAGCACUCCCCACUUGCCCAGCUCCUACCCACCAAAUUGUCUUUAAAAACUCCCUAUCCUGGAAUGCUCAGAGGGACUGAUUUGAGUAAUAAUAAAACUCUGGUCUCCCACACAGAAUUACUGCAUGAAUUACUCUUUCUCCAUUGCAAUUCCCCUGUCUUGAUAAAUCGGCUCUGUCUAGGCAGCGGGCAAGGUGAACCCAUUGUGCGGUUACAUGGUGCCCUCCCAUAUGCCCUAGAAGUAGCCAUUCCUGAGGGUCAGACUACUAUGAAUCCUGAUGCUCCUCUAUGUCUAACUGCCCAGCGGGGAAACCACAUUCCAGGCUGGUGCUGGGGAAUGUCUGCUAAGUAUCCAAUGAUGUGGCCUGUUCUCUAGUCUCCCUGCAGUGGGUAACAGCACCAGCUCUGAUGGGGGUGGGAGGGGGCUUACAUAGACUCUGAGAUUCCCUUAGUUAUAUAUAGCCUUAUUGUGUUGGUAUUCUCAAAGGCCAAAUUUAGUAUUAAUGUACUGGGCGUGUGAACAGACUCAAGACCUCCUGGUCAGCCAGGGUGAUGCAAGAAAUGGUGGUAACCGAGGCCAUGCAAAAGUUUUCUCUUUCCUGAAUGCUGUUAUUCUGUCUGCAGAUGCUGUAAUGGACUGUGUUGGUUGGCCUCCAGCCAGGAGGUGGUGCUUGCAAAAUAGUACCAGCUGCAGUGGUAGCAGUGGGGUUUGCGCUUGCCUUAUGUUUCCCAGAGAAUGUACUCUGGUGUCUCGGGCAAGGGGCGGGACCAUGGAGCUCUAAAACAUCCCUGUCUAUUGUGUUGUACAACCAGAGCAGAUGAAGGGGUAAAGCCAGAGCAGGUGGAGGCUGGGUCAGGCAAGUCCGUGCUCGGGCUCCCCAUGUGCAAGCUCAGGAAGUGGCUCCAAUGUGGAUCAGAGGGCAGUUGCCUUGCCUCUGGGGUAAUGUUCUAGGGAGGAGUGCAGCUUCUUCUGCUGCAUAAAAUAAUCUGCACAGGGAGCGGUGGGUAGCCGGCAGCAGUAAGCUCCACUCAGCUCCCAUGCACUUGGCAAGGCACAUCUCACACUCACAGUGUUCUAUUAGCAACAGCUAGCUGAGUUCCAGGCAGCCUCUACCCAGAACUCAAAACUGGUGGAGAACACAGCUUUCAGGCCAUGCCCCUCCCAGUCAACCUAUGAAGCAGGUGGCUAUAAGCACACUUUCCGCUUGCUACUCCAUUCUGGCUGAUGGGGCUCAUCCCCACUCAAGAUCAUAUUGAAAAUUUCAGCUGGGAGAUUCUCUCAACCUGUGACCAACACCUGAGUUAGCUGGCCAACUUCCAUGAUGUCCCUUGUGAGGUGAGAAUAGGAAUGGCUCUGUACCCAUUGGGGUCUGGGAGUGCAUGCAAAGCACAUCCUGAUGCCGCUUCUUCUCCUAUAUUCCCCACCUCUCACUAAAUCAGCUCCAGAGCCUGGAAGGGUUAACACCUUCACCUGUGGCCUAGAUCGCCCAGCUCCCUGUGGGAGUGUGUGUCACAGCAUCAUCUCUCUCCCUCUCAUGACCUGGAGACUCACACUUUUCUGUAUGGCCCACAGUGUAGGCUGCAGCCCAUUGCUUCUUUCAAAAGGCCUGUGGUUUCUUUGACUUUUUCUGUUAAGUUCCUGUGUUGCUUCAUGGAAAACCGAGUUCACAGAAUAAAUCUUAACACACUAUUUUUGCCUUUCCAAGUGGGAGAGGCAGGCAAACAUUGACUCUAAUCUACCAUCUUGCGGGGGGGUGGGGAUGGGGGUGGGGAACAGUUUUAUCUUUAAAGUGACCAAUAAUGUCUCUCCAGGAUAGAAUAAAGCAAUCUUUCAUAUAAGUAGCAGAUUAAGAAAAUGGCAACAAGGAAUCUCACCAGAUCUUCACAACUAGGUUAAUUUUGUUAUUGCUUUAAAUCUCCUUAAUAAAAGUAACUACUUAGACAAUUUUUUUUUGUAGUUAACAACACACUUGCACAAUAUUCAGGGCAAUCAGUAUAUAUGCAAAUUUAACUACUAAUAUAUUCACUUCAAUCAGUAAAGUAUGCAGAAACGUAAUAGUUGAAGUGUUCAGCUUAGGUAGUAAACAGUAUGCAGCUGGCUCUAUAAAAAUAAAAUAUGACUAUGACAUAAAGAAAAUUUACAAAACGUUUAAAUCUCAAGACUGCUGUCCAGGUUUUCAUCAACAAUAUAAUUUGAUAAAUAUGUUAAUCAAUAGCAAAUCAGUGCAAUUAACAGUUUGUUGGAUUUUAUUGCUUUCAAUUUCAGUGACAUCUCAUAUCAAAUGAAACAAUAUCUCUUGUAUCAAAUGAAGUAAUAUGUAUUUGUAAAAUAAAAG
This 3660-nucleotide long non-coding RNA is filed under the name Homo sapiens (human). RNAcentral describes it as "HSALNT0204619". Lineage: Eukaryota; Metazoa; Chordata; Mammalia; Primates; Hominidae. The record is from RNAcentral.